GCCCCUGUAGUUUAAUUGAAUAGAACACAUGGCUACGGACUAUGAGGCGAGGGUUUGAAUCCUUCUGGGGGUACUA
RNAcentral lists this transfer RNA (76 nucleotides) under Bacteroidota bacterium. RNAcentral describes it as "Bacteroidetes bacterium tRNA-Arg". It matches the Rfam family "tRNA". Rfam says of the family: Transfer RNA (tRNA) molecules are approximately 80 nucleotides in length. Their secondary structure includes four short double-helical elements and three loops (D, anti-codon, and T loops). Further hydrogen bonds mediate the characteristic L-shaped molecular structure. tRNAs have two regions of fundamental functional importance: the anti-codon, which is responsible for specific mRNA codon recognition, and the 3' end, to which the tRNAs corresponding amino acid is attached (by aminoacyl-tRNA synthetases). tRNAs cope with the degeneracy of the genetic code in two manners: having more than one tRNA (with a specific anti-codon) for a particular amino acid; and 'wobble' base-pairing, i.e. permitting non-standard base-pairing at the 3rd anti-codon position. Lineage: Bacteria; Pseudomonadati; Bacteroidota. The record is from RNAcentral.